Molecule: ribosomal RNA, 634 nt
Filed under: Phytophthora colocasiae
Lineage: Eukaryota; Oomycota; Peronosporomycetes; Peronosporales; Peronosporaceae
Description: eukaryotic LSU rRNA
Rfam family: Eukaryotic large subunit ribosomal RNA
Source: RNAcentral
CGUGGUCAGCAUGGGCACUUGGGGCAAGUUCCUUGGAAGAGGACAGCAUGGAGGGUGAUACUCCCGUUCAUUUCUGAGUUGCUCGUGCGUACGACCCGUUUUCUUUGAGUCGCGUUGUUUGGGAAUGCAGCGCAAAGUAGGUGGUAAAUUCCAUCUAAAGCUAAAUAUUGGUGCGAGACCGAUAGCGAACAAGUACCGUGAGGGAAAGAUGAAAAGAACUUUGAAAAGAGAGUUAAAGAGUACCUGAAACUGCUGAAAGGGAACCGAAUCGUUUCCAGUGUCUAUAAUCCGUGGUAUAUUUCAUUGGCGAGUGUGUGCGUGCGUGUGCUGUGGCAGCGGCUUUUUUGGCUGCGCUCGGCGUGUGUGCUGUGUGUGCUUGCUGGUGCUCUGUGCUGCGGUGGGACGUCAAGGUCAGUUCGUAUGCUGCGGGAAAUGGCUGCCGAGGAGGUAGGGCUUACGCUUGCGUUUGUCUGUUAUAUCUUGGUGGACGAGUAGUCGCGGUUGGGACUGAGGUGCCUACAACGUGCUUUUGAGUGGGUUUGUGUCUCCGUGUGCGCCGUGUGCGGAUAGCUUGCUAUGCGGUGUGUGGUUGUGUGUGGAUUGAUGCGAGCUUUAACUUGUUGCCGUUCGGGAC